This is a long non-coding RNA of Limulus polyphemus (Atlantic horseshoe crab), 186 nucleotides long. RefSeq lists it as uncharacterized. The transcript has 3 exons. The record is from RefSeq and is a predicted model, not a curated record. NCBI's taxonomy places the organism in Eukaryota, Metazoa, Arthropoda, Merostomata, Xiphosura, Limulidae.
GCACGCGACCGGUCGGCUUAUGAGAGGCAUUGUAUUGAUCAAGGACGAAUUCGGAGAACCAAUUGAAGAAUUAUCACUAACAGAUUGAAAGGCUAAAAACAUGAAAGCGUUAUCGAAUUUGAUAUCCGUGUUUGUACUUUUUUGCUGCAUGGAAGAACGGAAAGUAAUGUGACGAAGUAUUACUAA